This 450-nucleotide ribosomal RNA is filed under the name uncultured bacterium. RNAcentral's name for it is "partial 16S ribosomal RNA". It matches the Rfam family "Bacterial small subunit ribosomal RNA", at positions 354 to 796 of the family's 1533-position model. The record is from RNAcentral.
GUGGGGAAUUUUGGACAAUGGGCGAAAGCCUGAUCCAGCAAUGUCGCGUGUGUGAAGAAGGCCUUCGGGUUGUAAACCGCUUUUGUCAGGGAAGAAAUCCUUUGGGUUAAUACCUCGGAGGGAUGACGGUACCUGAAGAAUAAGCACCGGCUAACUACGUGCCAGCAGCCGCGGUAAUACGUAGGGUGCGAGCGUUAAUCGGAAUUACUGGGCGUAAAGCGUGCGCAGGCGGUUUUGUAAGAUCGAUGUGAAAUCCCCGGGCUCAACCUGGGAACGGCCGUGGUGACUGCAAGGCUGGAGUGCGGCAGAGGGGGAGGGACUUCCGCGUGUAGCAGUGAAAUGCGUAGAUAUGCGGAGGAACACCGAUGGCGAAGGCAAGCCCCUGGGCCUGCACUGACGCUCAUGCACGAAAGCGUGGGGAGCAAACAGGAUUAGAUACCCCGGUAGUCC